GAUGAAGAACGUAGCGAAAUGCGAUAAGUAGUGUGAAUUGCAGAAUUCAGUGAAUCAUCGAAUCUUUGAACGCACAUUGCUCCCCUUGGUAUUCCAUGGGGCAUGCCUGUUCGAGCGUCAUUUGUACCUUCAAGCUUUGCUUGGUGUUGGGUGUUUGUCUCGCCUUUGCGUGUAGACUCGCCUUAAAAUAAUUGGCAGCCGGCGUAUUGAUUUCGGAGCGCAGUACAUCUCGCGCUUUGCACUCAUAACGACAGCGUCCAAAAGUACAUUUUACACUCUUGACCUCGGAUCAGGUAGGGAUACCCGCUGAACUUAAGCAUAUCAAUAAGCGGAGGA
This 336-nucleotide unclassified non-coding RNA is filed under the name soil metagenome. Its description in RNAcentral is "partial contains 5.8S ribosomal RNA, internal transcribed spacer 2, and large subunit ribosomal RNA". The stretch from base 1 to 120 matches the Rfam family "5.8S ribosomal RNA", at positions 35 to 154 of the family's 154-position model. The record is from RNAcentral.